This 417-nucleotide ribosomal RNA is filed under the name uncultured bacterium. RNAcentral's name for it is "bacterial SSU rRNA". It matches the Rfam family "Bacterial small subunit ribosomal RNA", at positions 50 to 507 of the family's 1533-position model. The record is from RNAcentral.
AAUACAUGCAAGUCGCGCGGACGGUCUACGACGUCAGCGGCGGACGGGUGAGUAACGCGUAGGAAUCUAUCCUUGGAAUGGGGGACAACCGUGGGAAACUACGGCUAAUACCGCAUGAUGCCUGAGGGCCAAAGACGAAAGUCGUUUGAGGAGGAGCCUGCGUCUGAUUAGGUAGUUGGUGGGGUAAAGGCCUACCCAAGCCUACGAUCAGUAGCUGGUCUGAGAGGAUGAUCAGCCACAUUGGGACUGAGACACGGCCCAAACUCCUACGGGAGGCAGCAGUGGGGAAUAUUGGACAAUGGGCGCAAGCCUGAUCCAGCAAUGCCGCGUGGGUGAAGAAGGUCUUCGGAUUGUAAAGCCCUUUUGGCGGGGACGAUGAUGACGGUACCCGCAGAAUAAGCUCCGGCUAACUUCGUG